RNAcentral lists this ribosomal RNA (494 nucleotides) under uncultured bacterium. RNAcentral's name for it is "partial 16S ribosomal RNA". It matches the Rfam family "Bacterial small subunit ribosomal RNA", at positions 28 to 523 of the family's 1533-position model. The record is from RNAcentral.
GAUGAACGCUGGCGGCGUGCUUAACACAUGCAAGUCGAACGGGAAAUAUUUCAUUGAGACUUCGGUGGAUUUGAUCUAUUUCUAGUGGCGGACGGGUGAGUAACGCGUGGGUAACCUGCCUUAUACAGGGGGAUAACAGUCAGAAAUGGCUGCUAAUACCGCAUAAGCGCACAGAGCUGCAUGGCUCAGUGUGAAAAACUCCGGUGGUAUAAGAUGGACCCGCGUUGGAUUAGCUUGUUGGUGGGGUAACGGCCCACCAAGGCGACGAUCCAUAGCCGGCCUGAGAGGGUGAACGGCCACAUUGGGACUGAGACACGGCCCAGACUCCUACGGGAGGCAGCAGUGGGGAAUAUUGCACAAUGGGGGAAACCCUGAUGCAGCGACGCCGCGUGAAGGAAGAAGUAUCUCGGUAUGUAAACUUCUAUCAGCAGGGAAGAUAGUGGCGGUACCUGACUAAGAAGCCCCGGCUAACUACGUGCCAGCCGCCGCGGUAA